GUGUCAGCCGCCGCGGUAAGACAGAGGGUGCAAACGUUGCUCGGAAUCACUGGGCGUAAAGGGCGUGUAGGCGGGCGGAUAAGUCAGAUGUGAAAUCCCCAGGCUCAACCUGGGAACAGCAUUUGAAACUGUCCAUCUUGAGUGUCGGAGAGGAAAGCGGAAUUCCUGGUGUAGAGGUGAAAUUCGUAGAUAUCAGGAGGAACACCGGUGGCGAAGGCGGCUUUCUGGACGACAACUGACGCUGAGACGCGAAAGCGUGGGUAGCAAACAGGAUUAGAUACCCUCGUAGUCC
RNAcentral lists this ribosomal RNA (292 nucleotides) under uncultured bacterium. RNAcentral describes it as "partial 16S ribosomal RNA". It matches the Rfam family "Bacterial small subunit ribosomal RNA", at positions 505 to 796 of the family's 1533-position model. The record is from RNAcentral.